Molecule: ribosomal RNA, 577 nt
Filed under: Salmonella enterica
Lineage: Bacteria; Pseudomonadati; Pseudomonadota; Gammaproteobacteria; Enterobacterales; Enterobacteriaceae
Also listed under: 2 other names
Description: partial 23S ribosomal RNA
Rfam family: Bacterial large subunit ribosomal RNA
Source: RNAcentral
AGACCCGAAACCCGGUGAUCUAGCCAUGGGCAGGUUGAAGGUUGGGUAACACUAACUGGAGGACCGAACCGACUAAUGUUGAAAAAUUAGCGGAUGACCUGUGGCUGGGGGUGAAAGGCCAAUCAAACCGGGAGAUAGCUGGUUCUCCCCGAAAGCUAUUUAGGUAGCGCCUCGUGAAUUCAUCUCCGGGGGUAGAGCACUGUUUCGGCUAGGGGGCCAUCCCGGCUUACCAACCCGAUGCAAACUGCGAAUACCGGAGAAUGUUAUCACGGGAGACACACGGCGGGUGCUAACGUCCGUCGUGAAGAGGGAAACAACCCAGACCGCCAGCUAAGGUCCCAAAGUCAUGGUUAAGUGGGAAACGAUGUGGGAAGGCCCAGACAGCCAGGAUGUUGGCUUAGAAGCAGCCAUCAUUUAAAGAAAGCGUAAUAGCUCACUGGUCGAGUCGGCCUGCGCGGAAGAUGUAACGGGGCUAAACCAUGCACCGAAGCUGCGGCAGCGAACGUAUCACCCAAGACAACUUUACGGAGUUGACGAUUGACGGAGCGAAGCGACGUCAAAGCGUUCAUUAAAGUCG